AUUGAACGCUGGCGGCAGGCCUAACACAUGCAAGUCGAACGAGUGGCGGACGGGUGUGUAUUGUCUGGGAAACUGCCCGACGGAGGGGGAUAACUCCUGGAAACGGUAGCUAAUACCGCAUACCAUCGGAUGUGCCCAGAUGGGAUUAGCUAGUAGGUGGGGUAACGGCUCACCUAGGCGACGAUCCCUAGCUGGUCUGAGAGGAUGACCAGCCAAACUGGAACUGAGACACGGUCCAGACGCCUACGGGAGGCAGCAGGGGGGAAUAUGGCACAAUGGGCGCAAGCCUGAUGCAGCCAUGCCGCGUGUAUGAAGAAGGCCUUCGGGUUGUAAAGUACUUUCAGCGAGGAGGCGUUACUCUCAGAAGAAGAACCGGCUAACUCCGUGCCAGCAGCCGCGGUAAUAC
Molecule: ribosomal RNA, 406 nt
Filed under: uncultured bacterium
Lineage: Bacteria
Description: partial 16S ribosomal RNA
Rfam family: Bacterial small subunit ribosomal RNA
Source: RNAcentral